GAUGAAGAACGUAGCGAAAUGCGAUAAGUAGUGUGAAUUGCAGAAUUCAGUGAAUCAUCGAAUCUUUGAACGCACAUUGCGCCCUUUGGUAUUCCUUAGGGCAUGCCUGUUCGGGCGUCAUUUAAACCUUCAAGCUCAGCUUGGUGUUGGGUGACUGUCCGCUUCACCGCGGACUCGCCUCAAAAUUAUUGGCGGCCGGUACAUUGGCUUCGAGCGCAGCAGAAACGCGAACUCGGGCCCGUCGUAUUGGCUCCCAGAAGCUAUCUUCACAAUUUUGACCUCGGAUCAGGUAGGGAUACCCGCUGAACUUAAGCAUAUCAAUAAGCGGAGGA
RNAcentral lists this unclassified non-coding RNA (332 nucleotides) under soil metagenome. RNAcentral describes it as "partial contains 5.8S ribosomal RNA, internal transcribed spacer 2, and large subunit ribosomal RNA". The stretch from base 1 to 120 matches the Rfam family "5.8S ribosomal RNA", at positions 35 to 154 of the family's 154-position model. The record is from RNAcentral.